GAUGAAGAACGUAGCGAAAUGCGAUACGUAAUGUGAAUUGCAGAAUUCAGUGAAUCAUCGAGUCUUUGAACGCACAUUGCGCCCCCUGGUAUUCCGGGGGGCAUGCCUGUCCGAGCGUCAUUGCUGCCCUCAAGCACGGCUUGUGUGUUGCGCCUCCGUCCUCCUCCCGGGGGACGGGCCCGAAAGGCAGCGGCGGCACCGCGUCCGGUCCUCGAGCGUAUGGGGCUUCGUCACCCGCUCUUGUAGGCCCGGCCGGCGCUUGCCGACACAUCAAUCUUUUUUCCAGGUUGACCUCGGAUCAGGUAGGGAUACCCGCUGAACUUAAGCAUAUCAAUAAGCGGAGGA
Molecule: unclassified non-coding RNA, 345 nt
Filed under: soil metagenome
Description: partial contains 5.8S ribosomal RNA, internal transcribed spacer 2, and large subunit ribosomal RNA
Rfam family: 5.8S ribosomal RNA (bases 1-120)
Source: RNAcentral